CCAGCCCAGCGCUCGCACCGCUCGCAGAAGACAUCGCUGGCACCGUGUUGGCCGCCAUUUGAGCGCUUGGUCACAUCGCUGGCACCCACGGCUGGCACCGUGGCCGCCACUUGACCAAGCGCUAAAUAUCGGCCAACNCGGUGCCAGCGAUGUCUUCUGCGAGCGGUGCGAGCGCUGGGCUGG
This 183-nucleotide microRNA precursor is filed under the name Chlamydomonas reinhardtii. RNAcentral describes it as "miR907 stem-loop (cre-MIR907)". Its record names the gene cre-MIR907. Lineage: Eukaryota; Viridiplantae; Chlorophyta; Chlorophyceae; Chlamydomonadales; Chlamydomonadaceae. The record is from miRBase by way of RNAcentral.